UACGUAGGGUGCAAGCGUUGUCCGGAAUUAUUGGGCGUAAAGAGCUCGUAGGCGGUCUGUCGCGUCGAAUGUGAAAAUCCGGGGCUCAACCCCGGACCUGCAUUCGAUACGGGCAGACUAGAGUUCGGUAGGGGAGUCUGGAAUUCCUGGUGUAGCGGUGAAAUGCGCAGAUAUCAGGAGGAACACCGGUGGCGAAGGCGGGUCUCUGGGCAAGUGAACUGACGCUGAGGAGCGAAAGCGUGGGGAGCGAACAGG
RNAcentral lists this ribosomal RNA (255 nucleotides) under uncultured bacterium. Its description in RNAcentral is "partial 16S ribosomal RNA". It matches the Rfam family "Bacterial small subunit ribosomal RNA", at positions 524 to 776 of the family's 1533-position model. The record is from RNAcentral.